UUACAAUAUGCUGAAAGGUUAUUAUGGAGUUUUUUGCCCAAUGAUGCCAAAAAUAUACUGCCUACUCCCUCUUUAAGUGUGUGUUAUGCGUGCACUUAGAGCUGAGGAGAAUUAACAUCAGGAAUGUGCUCAUGUCUGGUGAUAGCUGCCAAGUAAAAUGGGGCUCCGUCAUGCAGGACAACCUGGACCUGUUUGGAUUGUACCCGUCAGAUCUGAGCAGUCAAUCUACGCGAGCCUUUGUGGCAGUGAGAGGCAGCAGAAGCUAUUAAGCCGAGCAGAGUAAUCAAAUGUGAACUUAAUGAAGAGCUGUUUGGAUGUCUGGCUGAGAUUUCACCAUGUACUCAGCCCCAGAGUGGUAAUCAACCACGACUGCUAUUUGUACUAGAGUGAGUGUGGGAGCUCAGACGGCGGAGGCUGCGACCUCCCUCACUUCCACAUGAGGAUUAAAUCGAAUUCAGCAGCGGAGUUGGGGACCGAGCACAAAACCACAAGGUGUGUGCCGCCAUUAUCAAGUUAGUCAGUUUAGACAAAUCCCUUUGCCACACCACCGCCGGAGCACACGCUGUACGACGUAUAGCUGCACAGGGAGAAAAAUGACAAUUAAGCCUACUUAGCAUGCUGCCGAGGGAAACGCAUUAAAGAAGAUUAUAUGAAAUUCUUUAGUGCCUUUUCAUAAGACUGGUACAAGUCUCAGUGUGACGCAUGAGCUCCUCUAGAAGGUUCUCUCACAUUCACUACACAUGUGCUAAAAUAACCUGAGCGCUGCUGUGACACCUGCAGAUAACAGACAGACAAACUCCUCGCCAUGACUUUGUAAAGAUGAAACCGUGAUUAAGAAGUAACACAGGAAAUCUUAAUCACUGAUCUUGUGAAUAUUGAUAUACAGAUUUUACAUUUGAGCCUGAAGUUUGCUGCCAUUUUUAGGAGUGCUACCUUUCAAAUAAGCUGACAUGAAAGUUAGAAGCACUUUCAGUAGGGGGGUAAGAAAAUAUUGAGUAUCGCAAUAUUAUGUUUGGUGAUACUAUAUCGAUUCUCAACAAUAAUAUAGAUUUUUAGUUAAUAGUUUAUAUGCAGAGAUUAACUCAGUCAAUACUUUAUUUCUUUUUUUUGCACAGACAUGCGUCCUGUCAGUGUAUCUGUGAUAAACGCAAAUGCAGUUUAUCAAAUCUGAUUGCACAAAAAAAUGUAAACUUGUUUUAACUCAGAUUUUAUGCAUAUGAUAUGCAAUAUAUUGAAUCGUAACCCCUGUAUCAUGAUAUGUAUCGUAUCGCUAGAUUCUUGCCAACACACGACCCUAACUGUCAGUCAAAGUCACCUUUUCGCUUCCUGCAAGAGAGUAAGAUGAGAAGAUUGGUACCACUCUCUUUCGAUCAGUUUAGCUUAGCACAAAGACUGGAAACGGGGGGAAACAGCUAGCCUGACUCUGGCCAAAGGUAACACAAUCUGCCUACCAGCAACUCUGACGCUCACUAAUUAACAAAUUAUAUUUUGUUUGUUUAAUCUGUACAGAAAGUGGACGAGUGUAAAAACUACAAUUUGCCAUUUUCUUGGCUGUGAGCAGUUGCCAGGCAACCAGGAAGGAAGUUACUGCCCCCAGCUAAGAAUGAGGUUGCGUCCGAAAUUCCAUACUAACAUGCUAUUUAGCAGAGAUUUUUUUAGUAUGUCCGAAUCCCUAGUAUGAAACAAAUAGUACGUGAAUUGCUACUAUUUCUGGUAAAAUAUAAAUAUCCCACAAUGCAACGCGGUAGUGACGACAGCAUUCAUAACAGACGGUGAAGGACAGCUCUGUAACAUCAAUAACGCUUCAAUUUAACACUAAGGCCCAUGAUGCACCUCCGCCCAGCUCGCUGCAGCUGUGAUGGAAGCCAGGUCGAAAGAAGCCCAGAGAGGGGAAACAGAGCCAGAUGGAUUACCUCAUCAAUCAAAGUUCCCAGAAUCACGUCCUCUGUGUGUGUGUGUGUGUGUCCCACCAAUGCAGUGUCUCCAUUCAGUAGGAAAACAGUGUGAGGUAUACUCACUGCAGCCAUUUUGUAAUGACAAAAACAAGAUAUUUCAAGUAAUUACUUUAUUAUUCCUCUCUAUUCAAAUGCUCAUUCUGUGGGGGAGUCGCACAGGAAACUGCUAAUCUCGCCCAAAGCCUUUUUAACGAGAAAUUGCAUUAUCAAAAUGUCUUGGGGUGGCCGUGACAUAUUACGGAUGUCAGUAACCUUUUACGGUUGCUGAGAAGGACACACUAGAAGAAAUCUAAAAUCAGAAAAAUAAUCCAAGACAUCACAUGGCAGGGAGGAAGAGCAAGACAGGGGCUUUUACUUUGACAAAUAAAAGUACAUUUUAAAUAAGUUGUUGCAAGUAUAUGUCCAGUCAUAAGAAAAAAAAUACUUUUAGAAGACUUUUUAAAGUCAUAAUAUUAUAUUAUGUUUUUAUUUUUUUUAAAGGGUGACCAGCGCCCCUCAGAAGGUGGUGCCCUAGGCAACCGCCUAUAUGGCCCAUGCCUUAAGCCGGCCCUAUUACAAUUUUAACAAUGCAUUAGUGAUACAAAUUGAUUUUAAAAAAAAAAAACAGACAUAUUCAUUGAUUUUAAUCAAGAAUAGCAAAGUCAAAAAUGGCGCUAUCAGAGUUCAAAGAUCUUGCCCCCCCCCUUUAGGUUUUCUAACAGAGAGGAAGCUUCACAAUGUCGUACAGUCUCUGUAAUUUUCUUUCCUCCUCGAAAGGAACAAUUAUGGAGCGGGCGAUGCUGAUAACACCUAAGGAAUUCGAGGCAUGCACAAACAGCCCUUCCCCCAUCCGCUCAGCUCUCUCUCCCCUUCCCCCUUACCCUCGUCCCCUUCUCUCCUUCCCUCCUACUCCAUCACCGGGCUUCGCUUUCUGCCUCUUUACACUCAAAUCUGUUGCUCGGAUUACUUCCAGCUGGAACAUAGAGUAAAUAGAACACUCAAGAGAUUCUUGAAAAGUAAUUUACAAAAAGAAAACAAAAAAAGACGUAGAAGAAAAUCUGAGUUUUUUUUCAAUCAGGUUCUGCUGGACUCGAUAGAAAUAGUUGUGAUAUUGUGCCAGAAGACGUGUUAGGGCCAGAAUUGUUAUGCCUUUUAAUCACAAAUACAAAGUUUCUCUAUGUGUUCUAUUUGUUUUUGAGGGAGACCCUUACACAAUGGAUGCAUAUAGAUCUCAUAAACAAAAGUCAUUAAACUGGAUGUAUAAACUUUAUAGGCUCUGUAGGUUCAGCUCUAAUUUGAAGAACCUAUAUACUGGGGAUGAAUUAAAAAAGUUUGAGGCUUUUGGCAGUCAGGGGUGCGAUGCACGUCUUUGCCAAGGGCCCCCAAAAACCUCGACCACACUGCUUUUGUUUGAGCUAUAAAAAAAGGAGACAAAAGUAAUGGUAUGGACAUGAUCUCACUACACAUAUACAUAUAUUUACCAUGAAAAUACAAGAGGGAUUUAUCCGUGUGGACACAUGCUACUGACAUUUAUUUGCUUUUUGUUCCCCUCAAGCCUUUCUCACCAAAACUUCCUCUUUCACACUCUCCCUCAAAAACACAUUCCAACCACAGGGAAUGCUUGACUGAUUGUCUGAGUGUGUGUGAGGGUGUGUAUGUGUGUGUGUGUGUGUGUGUGUGGUCUGUUCAGCAGACGUGUAAAGUAACUUCUCUCACGUGAAGCCAGCCCAUACACCCAUCUGUUUGUCUGUGCUGAAGAACACAUCAUUUUACUGUUUCUGACUGUAUUUACUACGACAGGGAUAUAAAUAGCGCCAAAAUAUCCUGCUGAUUUUUUCCCUGUUGAGUGAAAGCACAAUUAUAAUUGAACAUAUGCAGGUAAUAAAAAGUCAUUAAAAAAAAUGCUGUUUGUGAGCUCAAUAUGUGGUAUUUUAUUGUAUGUUCAUUAUAGCCUGAAAAAAUAGUUUAUUUUGAAAUUCACAUCAUUAUUUCUGACACUAACCAGUCGAGCAAAUGCCAAACGAAAACUGCUGCUGCUGGAUGAAUUAUGUGAGAUGUAUAUAUGGUUUAUGUCUUAUGAUAACUACCAUGGAUAACAUUUAUAGUUUGUUUAACUUGAGCUACAUGCAUGUGCAGAGAUUCCUUCUAGAUGUAGUUUCUGAUGAAGUCCAGGUCCGCUUUGUAAGAGUGUGUAUUAUUUUCUGCCCUUCUCACACAACUUCCAAGUGCAAACUUUUAAAACUGAACAUUUCCCUUUAUCCUCUUUUCUUUUUUUUGCCCGCUCCUUUAUGUUCAACCGCUGUGAGCUGUCCUUCCCCCUCUGUUAGCCAUUCUGACCUUGAACCCCACACUGACGGUCUCAAUGACCGAGCCCCUCUCUCACACAUGAACUCCCUGAACCCGUCCACGCCAUUCAUAUCCACUUUCCUAAACACACACAAAGGCUCUCCUUCCUCCCAAACAACAGCCCACUUUGAUGACAGAGGUUCACCCCCACGCCAUUGAUGCUGUUGUGUGUGUGUGUGUGUGUGUGUGUAUGUGUGUGUGUUGGUUGUUCACGUAGGCAAAGGGUGGAAGGGUGGAAGGGUGGUAUUUCCUCAACGGUGUUGUUCUUAAAUAGGUUGUAUAUACGGGUGGUAACGGUUUUGUUGUUUUUUAUGCUAAAGUUGCCCAUUAAGAUAGGAUAAGAUAAGAUUAUUUUAGAUAACCCAACCGGUUGAGACAGAUGGCUGCCCACCCAGACCCUUAUUCUACCCAAGGUUUCUAUCUGUCACACCUAGUGCAUGCUCAUGGGGGAACUCUUGUUGGUACU
Molecule: long non-coding RNA, 4746 nt
Organism: Sebastes umbrosus (honeycomb rockfish)
Lineage: Eukaryota; Metazoa; Chordata; Actinopteri; Perciformes; Sebastidae
Exons: 3
Source: RefSeq, a predicted model, not a curated record